AAACAAUCCCCAAAUCGAACAACUCCACGACCCUAACCCGUGCCCUGUCGCCGCCCACCUCGCGCUCGAUCCACGGUCCGGACGCCAUCGCCGCCGGCCUCGCGCUCGAUCCAAAGUACGGCCGCCAUCGCCGCCGGCCUCGCGCUCGACCCCGUCGUCAAGCCGUCGUCCCGGAGGUCGCACCCCCUCCCCCAAGCUCCACCCCACAUCCACCCAUCCUCGCACUCUGCCCCCUCUCCCCGAGAUCGAGCCGCGGUCCUCGCACUCCACAAUCCGACGGCCGUCCUCGUGUCCUCCUGACAUCCAGCCGUCGUCCUCGCGAAUCUCCAUCCCUACUACCUCCGGGGCUCCAUCAUCGUGCUCCCGUUGCUGCCGGAUCUGCUGCUAUCGGGGCUCCAUUGCCGGCCUCCCGCUGCUGCCGGACAUGCUGAUGCCAGGGAUCCAUCUCCAGGCUCAUUACGCUGCUACCGGACCUGCUGCCGGGGCUCCAUCUCCUUCGAGCUGUGCCCCUCCCGAAUCCAGCCGUCCCCGUGCCUUGAGCCAAAUUCAGAUACUUGGCAAAUUUGAUAUUAAUGGUGCAUCAUGGACAAAACGUGGUUGUCUAAGCCUAGAUCAGUUGACAACGAAGCUCGGGGACGUGAUAUGGCGCUCGGUGUAGGUGGCCAUGGUGGACCUGAAGCUGGCUGAGAUAAGCGAUGGGGUCAGUGUUGUGCUCCUCCCGUUCUCAUUAACCAAAUAGUGCAGACUGUGGCUGUAUGACUCGUGUAUAUAUCCACUUGUACCACCAAAAUCAAACUGAUAGCAAGAACUUGAUAUAGUGCUAAGUUAUAGUUCGUAAACAGAUCCAUAUUAGUUUAGAGAUCCGCACAACAAAUUUAUACAUUCAGAAUGACCACCAAAAUCCAGCAGCACAAUUAACUAGAUUGGAAGAAUUUAUUUGAUUAAUAUGUGCACAUGAAACAACAAAUUAACCCGUGUGAACUAUCCACAUCGGUCUGAGUUAUGCUGAACUUUUUGAUCUUUUUACUAACCACAUCGGUGGUCUAAAAGAAUUAAUGAGUAGCAACACAGACUAAGAAAUUGCUAUUUAUCUUAUCUAUGCUAAGAAACCGGAGACUGAAUUUACCAACAUGGAAGGAUUCCUCAAGAGCACAUCAGCACCUGAAGCUGCUGCUGUCGCAGCUCUGCAAUUUUUCUUCUUUCCGGACGCCCGACAGCCCGAGCAUGCAAGAGCAGCAGCACGAGCAGGCCGUGCUGUGCAACAUCAGCAGAGCGCUCUCAGUGCAGCGGAACUACUCGGGCGUCUCUGAUGACAGUAUAUUUGAUACUGAAGUUGAAGAUUGUAGCACGGCAUUCGUACUAGUAAUAAUUACAUAUCAAAGAUGCCAAGAAGACAACUAAUGUGCCAGGAGGUGCAGGUACUUAGCCACACCUAGCAUUGGAUGUGACGAGGACUUGGAGUGUUAUGGAACACAUAUGGCUGUUUGCAGUAUUUUGGACCAACCAACUUCAAUCAUUUCUUGAAUCUUAUGUGUGUUCUGGACCAUUUGGUGCUUCAAGUGUUUUGGAGUAGAAACUUUGUGCUCAUGUAUGUGAUUUAUGUGUUUUGGACCAUUGUUUGAAUUAGUUCAGACUAGCAAAUAGUGGCCCUUUGACUUGUGUGUUCUGGAUGGUCAAACUAUGCUUGUGAACCUGUGUGAAUAUAUAUUUAUGUAUGUUUGUGAACCUAUCAUCAUUGUUGUCCAAUAUGUGUUCAUCUUGAUGUUGUUUGUUGAUCGCAUUUGACAUUGUAUAUAGUAUAUGUAUCAAAUCAUUGGUUUGGC
RNAcentral lists this ribosomal RNA (1823 nucleotides) under Triticum aestivum (bread wheat). RNAcentral describes it as "partial small subunit ribosomal RNA". The record is from RNAcentral. Lineage: Eukaryota; Viridiplantae; Streptophyta; Magnoliopsida; Poales; Poaceae.